Molecule: long non-coding RNA, 1815 nt
Organism: Pipra filicauda (Wire-tailed manakin)
Lineage: Eukaryota; Metazoa; Chordata; Aves; Passeriformes; Pipridae
Exons: 4
Source: RefSeq, a predicted model, not a curated record
CAUGGGAAGAACCUGCCACCUCUGCCAGCUGUGCCAGAAAACUUCUUUCCUGAAGAAGUCGUGUGUGAUUGAUCUCUGAAGCAACUGCUGAGUUACAAUCCCACAAAAAACAUGGAAUUGCUGUCUGCUCGUGUUCUCUGGAUUCUGUACCUGGCAACAGUACCUCAGCCCAUCUCUGCGUGAAUCCGGUCCAGCUCUGAAUAUCUCGAACACUAAGCACACAGAAAGAUGACUUAGAUGUUUAGGAUUUCUCUUCACAAAGCAGAUGAUACAGAUGCUCAGGAAGAUUCAGUGAAAUGGUAGUGUAAUGAUAAAGAUUUGAUUGUGCUAGUCCACCAGUUUGUGAACUUUAAGGAAAAUACUUCAGAAAUCACAGCUUGGGAUUUCUUCCCUACUUUUCAAGAUUAUUUUAAACUGUGCCAUAAGCAGAGGGAAGAUCUCCAGCAACAUAACUUUGCAGUAAGAAAAUGCCUUCAAGCUGUCCCAGAAGACAAGGGCUUUACACAGAGAUGUGUCCCCAAUGUACAGAUCCAUGGGGUUCAUGCCAAGAACAUGGAAAAAUCCUUCUACUACUGCCCUGCUGGCCACCUUGGAGUACAGAAAGCAAGCAACCAGCUUAUACAACUGCAAAAUCUACUUAAAAGAAGGGAUUAUCAUGUUCCUUCCUCUCUGGGGAAAGGGAGAAAGACUGACCAGGAAAACAUGACUGAUAGUAAAUGUUUUGGGUUUUUUUUUUAAAUAAUUAAAUAUCUUACAUUCCCAUAAUCACUGCAUUGUUUUAGGAUCUCAGAGGUAACAUUCAGAAAUCAUGACUGAUAGAAAUGGUAAAAAAUUAUCAAAUCUGUUACAUUUCCAGAAUCACUGCACUUUUUAUAAUCUCACAGAAUGAUAACAUUCCGAAAUCAUGACUGAGAGUAAAUGAUAUAAAAAAAAAUGCAGUGAUUCUGGGAAUGUAAGAGAUUUAAUAAUUUUUUAAUCUCACAGAUACCAUUCAGAAAUCAUGACUGAUAGUAAAUGGUUUUUUUUAGAAAUGAUUAAAUCUGUUACAUUCCCAGAAUUUUUUAAUCUCACAGAAACAUUCAGAAAUCAUGACUGAUAGUAAGUGAUAAAAGAUGAUUAAAUCUGUUACAUUCCCUGAAUCACUGCAUUUUUUUAUAAUCUCACAGAUAAUGUUCAGAAAUCAUGACUGAUAAUAAAUGGGUUUUUUUAAAAAAAAAUGUUUAAAUCUGUUACAUUCCUGUAAUCAUUGCAUUUUUUUUAUACUCCCACAGGUAACAUUCAUUAUUCAUGACUUAUAGUAAAUGAUAAAACAUGAUUAAAUCUGUUCCAUUCCCAUAAUCACUGCAUUUUUUUUAUGAUCUCACAGAUACCACUCAGAAAUCAUGACUGAUAGUAAAUGGUUUCUUGAAGAUGAAGUCUUUUACAUUUCUGUAAUCCCUGUGUUUUUUUAAGACUACCUCCAUAUAUGUUUAAUCUAUGAACACUAAACACGUUUUGCAGUAGUUUAAAAACAGUUCUGUUGAGACUUGCUGCAGUUUUUAAUGUAACUGUAGAUACCUAAUCUAGUGUCAUUUCUGUGUCAUGCUGAUGGUGCUAGAAGAGCCUCUGGCACUUUUCUGAAAAGGCACCUAUUUGGGUUUAAAAUGAGUGUAUUUGAGGUCAUUAGGAAAGGAAAUUUCCAGCACUAAUUCUGCCCUACCACAGGUUUUAGCAGAAAGAACAAACCAAAGAACAAAAGGAAACCCAACAACUGUGUUUGAUGAAUCCAUGUGCAAUAUUUUUGUUACAGUGAAAUAAAACACCAGACACCUUGAA